Non-coding RNA from Nicotiana tabacum (common tobacco), 467 nucleotides. The record is from RefSeq and is a predicted model, not a curated record. Lineage: Eukaryota; Viridiplantae; Streptophyta; Magnoliopsida; Solanales; Solanaceae.
GUUAAAUUUGAUAGUUAAGAACAAACGAAGACUCGAGUAGGCAUAUUGCGCACUGUCUAGUAAAAUAGACGUGACCUUUUGCUCCGAACUCCAUUUGGGAUAUAUAAUUUAUGUUUAAAUCGCGACCGAGGACCUGGACGCGGACUGAGGCAGUGCACUGGUAAAAUAUCGCGCCCGAACCGCGACCGUGAGCGUCCAGACCUGAAAAAUUAUCCUUUUUCGCGUAGAAGAAGGUAUAAUUGUUUGGGCCCGACCCUACUUGGUAUAUAUACAUGGAAAAACGAUAUUUUAAGAGGUAGGACAUAGUUUUGACACAGAUUCGACCUAAGGAGGUAGAGACACAAUAGGAGCAAGGCUGAGAAUUUUUCUACAAGUUUUUCCUUCCUUUUCCUAUUGUUGGUUAUGACUCUUAGUAUUGUAGUCUUAUAUACUAUUAUGAAUAUCUAAUUUGUUAUCUAGGAUUUUGA